UGUCCACACCAGGGAAGCCCCACCCACCGGAAGCCAAGAUGUCCAGUAAGCGAGCCAAGGCCAAGAUCACCAAGAAGCAGCCACAGCGGGCCACAUCCAAUGUCUUUGCGAUGUUUGACCAGUCCCAGAUCCAGGAGUUUAAGGAGGCCUGCAACAUGAUCGACCAGAACCAAGAUGGCUUCAUUGACAAGGAGGACUUGCAUGACAUGCUGGCCUCCCCGGGAAAGAACCCCACAGAUGAGUACUUGGAGGGCAUGAUGAGCGAGGUCCCUGGGCCCAUCAACUUCACCAUGUUCCUGACGAUGUUUGGGGAGAAGCUGAACGGCAUGGACCCCGAGGAUGUGAUCCACAAUGCCUUUGCCUGCUUCGACGAAGAGGCCUCAGGUUUUACCCAUGAGGACCAUCUUCGGGAGCUGCUCACCACCAUGGGUGACUGCUUCACAGACGAGGAAGUGGACGAGAUGUACCGUGAGGCACCCAUUGACAAGAAAGGCAACUUCAACUACCUGGAGUUCACGCGCAUCCUAAAACACGGUGCCAAGGACAAAGACCACUAGGCCUCCCAAGGCCCCCAUGUCCAGCCCCUGUCCCAGUCACCUGCUCCACACACAUACACAGUCUGCACCUGCUCAUGCCCAUGGGUCCCAAUCAGGGGAGCCUCCCUCUGAGGGAUUAGGGCCCAGCUCCCAGUGGAGGAACAGGCCCAGAGAGAGCAGUGCCAGGCAAGGAUCACACAGCCACUGUGAGGCAGGUGUGCCCACUGUGA
RNA transcript from Myotis lucifugus (little brown bat), 766 nucleotides. It is a transcript of the gene named myosin regulatory light chain 2, smooth muscle major isoform pseudogene, with no coding region annotated. The transcript has a single exon. The record is from RefSeq and is a predicted model, not a curated record. NCBI's taxonomy places the organism in Eukaryota, Metazoa, Chordata, Mammalia, Chiroptera, Vespertilionidae. The annotation marks the transcript as partial.